CCUCCGCUCCCCCCGCGCGGGGGAGGCGGGAACGUGUCGUAUGGUACAAAUACACCCCCGGCGGAAACCCCUCCCCGUCCUGGGCUUGGGUUUCUGCUCCCCUUCCCCCGUCCUGGCCCGUGUUCUCAUCUCAGCCCCGCCUCAUUUUCACGGGCUCCUUCCAGUCAGCUUCCUUCCUGGGCGAGAAAGGAGAGGGAGGGUCACAGAUCAGCAGCAUGCCCCGCGGGGCACGACUCAUUUUGGCGUGGCAAAGGUGGAGAUACAGGUGACCGCCGCUUACUUCUUUUCUCCGGUCGCGGAGGAGCCAGCAGAGCCCACGGGCACGUUCGGGGCCCCCAGGGGGAAGCCCAGCGGCGGGGGAACCCACCCUCAUGUUUUGAUUAUCUGCCCAGUCUACUUGAGCCGCGUCUCAUUGUGGCAGUUCACAUGGGCAGAGUCUCUAAUCUCAUCCUCGAUGAGGAGAGGUCCGUGGCCUGAAGAGCUGACAACUUAAGGGCCACCAUCUGCCUGGCACCUCACUCAGACUACAUGCAUACUCAAUAAUAAUAAUAAUAAACAGCACUUAACACUUACAUGGCACUUUUGCCAUCCUCAAAUCACAUUCCAAAAGUAGCUAUGGAUUAUUAUCUUCAUUUUCAAGAUGGAAAACUGAGGCACAGUGAGAAGAAUCAUCUUUCCCAGGGUUGCAUAGCAAAUCAGCAGCAGAGCAGGCAAUCAAACAUAGAUAUUUUCGUUCCUCCAUCCAGCAGCCCUGCCUACUCGUACCAGUAAAGACUCCAGGAUCAGACUAAAAGGCCAUCAACUGGCGGCAGAACAUGGGAGAACCUACCUGAGAGAGGAAGACUCAGUUGUGCACAUGUGCAGUAGAGACAUAUGAGAUUAAUUUCACAUCACUCUCUGGUUAAGUGUCACUGGGAUAUUUCUCAUGCUCCUCCUGGCCAGGGUUGCCACAGAGACGCAACCAAUUGAUCAGAUGAGGAGCAAACUAUCCCCGGUCAGGAGCUGAACAGAAGUUGGUGCUUCUGACCCAGUUGCGUUGAAAUGAACAGAACCAAGAGUCCGGUUUGUACCUCUCCUUGAAUAAUGCCUCGUAACCAGCCGUCUUCCCCUGUUUCUGGCAGCUGUUUUCCAAGUGUGCUUCCAAAAUCAUUAGCUAGCAGCCGGGAGAAGGUAACGAAAAAUCUUUAACUGGAAUAAUGUAAACGGCAAGGCAUUAUCCAGACCUGCGUAAUUCUUAUUGCUUCCUGAUGGGUCGAAGCAGAUUCCCUCACUGGGAAUUAAUUCGGCAACAAUAUUUUACAGUCUCUCCUUUUAUGGGGAUGGAGAUAGAUAAAUUGUGCUCUGUGUGUUACUCUCUCCUGCAGAGGAAGGAGGAUAUUUGUGUAUGCAUGUUUCCAUGAGGCAUUUGUAUUCUCACUAGAGUGGGGUCAAAA
Long non-coding RNA from Chelonia mydas (Green sea turtle), 1433 nucleotides. RefSeq lists it as uncharacterized. The transcript has 2 exons. NCBI's taxonomy places the organism in Eukaryota, Metazoa, Chordata, Testudines, Cheloniidae. The record is from RefSeq and is a predicted model, not a curated record.